GGAGUCUGCAACCCGACUCCAUGAAGCUGGAUUCGCUAGUAAUCGCGCAUCAGCCACGGCGCGGUGAAUACGUUCCCGGGCCUUGUACACACCGCCCGUCAAGCCAUGGAAGCCGGGAGUGCCUGAAGUGCGUGACCGCAAGGAGCGUCCUAAGGCAAUACCGGUGACUGGGGCUAAGUCGUAACAAGGUACC
Molecule: ribosomal RNA, 193 nt
Filed under: uncultured bacterium
Lineage: Bacteria
Description: partial 16S ribosomal RNA
Rfam family: Bacterial small subunit ribosomal RNA
Source: RNAcentral